CCUACGGGAGGCAGCAGUGAGGAAUAUUGGUCAAUGGGCGCGAGCCUGAACCAGCCAAGUAGCGUGAAGGAUGACUGCCCUACGGGUUGUAAACUUCUUUUAUCAGGGACGAAGCAAGUGACGGUACCUGAUGAAUAAGCCACGGCUAACUACUGGCCAGAAGCCGCGGUAAUACGUAGGUGGCAAGCGUUAUCCGGUUUUACUGGGUGUAACGGGCGUGUAGGCGGGAGUGAAAGUCAGAUGUAAAACUAUGGGCUCAACCCAUAGCCUGCAUUUGAAACUGUACUUCUUGAGUGCUGGAGAGGCAAUCGGAAUGCCGGGUGUAGCGGUGAAAUGCGUAGAUAUACGGAGGAACACCAGUGGCGAAGGCGGAUUGCUGGACAGUAACUGACGCUGAGGCGCGAAAGCGUGGGGAGCAAACAGGAUUAGAUACCCUGGUAGUC
This 443-nucleotide ribosomal RNA is filed under the name uncultured bacterium. RNAcentral's name for it is "partial 16S ribosomal RNA". It matches the Rfam family "Bacterial small subunit ribosomal RNA", at positions 338 to 795 of the family's 1533-position model. The record is from RNAcentral.